Molecule: long non-coding RNA, 1048 nt
Filed under: Bos indicus x Bos taurus (hybrid cattle)
Lineage: Eukaryota; Metazoa; Chordata; Mammalia; Artiodactyla; Bovidae
Description: lncRNA (ENSBIXG00000014992.1)
Source: RNAcentral
GCGAGAGCAAUUUGCACACCCAACAGCAGCAUAGCCUGACCUCAAACUUCUUUUCUUUGUAGGAAGCCCUGUAGCAGUCCCGGAGUGAUGGGACUCCCUGCCUGGCCUGAGAUACCCAGUUAGCACCUGCGAAUCAGAAUUUCCUCUUCGCAGCAAUAAAGCAUCCAGCCUUUGCAUCUGUGACAGCCUCCCCUGUAAUUUAUGCAUUCUAUGCUAUCACAACUUUGUAGAGUGGUUCCUCGACUCCAUUUAAAGACUAACUUCAGCUUUAAAAUGGGCAGUUCCUGAAUCCAAGCUCCUUUGAGGGAAAAAUGACAGGAUAUUCAUCUUUCUCAUCAUAAAAAAGCUAGCCUGAAAAUGGCCAUGCUUCAUGGCUCAUCCUGAAAUCUCCUCAACAUUCACAAUUUGUAUGCCCUGGUGUGGCUUAGAAGUAAAAAGUCUACCUGCAGUGCAAGAGACCCAGGUUUAACCCCUGUGUUGGGAAAAUCCGCUGGAGAAGGGAAUGGCAACCCACUCCAGUAUUCUUGCCUGGAGAAUCCCAUGGACAGAGGAGCCUGGCAAGCUACAGCCCACGGGGUCACAAGGAGUCGGACAUGACUGAGUGAGUUUACUUCACUUCACAGAGAGAAAAAAGUAAGAGAAAGAUGUUUUUUUAAAAUAUUGUUGUAAAAGAUACAACUUAUAAGUUAUAAAUUCUAGAAUUUUAUGAAUGGUGAACUCAUAGAUGAAAAAGAGUGUUAGGCAUUUUGGCUGCAGGAAACAGUUACCUUAGUAAUGGAAGUUUCUAGAAAGGGCAUAUGAGAAAAUAGAGAAGAGAGUAUUCUCACAGGAAUCGAAGAACAUCCAUUACCCGAGAUCCCACAUAGUCCUGAGCACUAGUGUUAUAUCUGUUGUCUCUGUAGGAGCAAGAAUUUAUAGAUCUAUGCUCUGAUACCAUUAAUAAGGCUCUAUUAUUCUGUGUUUAUACUUCUCAUUGUGUCCUUUAUAAUUUCUCUUCCCACUAUUUGGAGAUCCAAAGUGAUGAAGACCAUAGAUUCUACAAUUAAAA